GAUGAACGCUGGCGGCGUGCCUAAUACAUGCAAGUCGAGCGAACAGACGAGAGUGCUUGCACUCUCUGACGUUAGCGGCGGACGGGUGAGUAACACGUGGGUAACCUACCUAUAAGACUGGGAUAACUUCGGGAAACCGGAGCUAAUACCGGAUAAUAUUUAGCUUCGCAUACAGCAAUAGUGAAAGACGGUUCUGCUGUCACUUAUGGAUGGACCCGCGGUGUAUUAGCUAGUUGGUGAGGUAACGGCUCACCAAGGCAACGAUACAUAGCCGACCUGAGAGGGUGAUCGGCCACACUGGGACUGAGACACGGCCCAGACUCCUACGGGAGGCAGCAGUAGGGAAUCUUCCGCAAUGGACGAAAGUCUGACGGAGCAAUGCCGCGUGAGUGAAGAAGGUGUUCGGAUCGUAAAACUCUGUUGUAAGGGAAGAACAAGUACGUUAGUAACUGAACGUACCUUGACGGUACCUUACCAGAAAGCCACGGCUAACUACGUG
This 499-nucleotide ribosomal RNA is filed under the name uncultured bacterium. Its description in RNAcentral is "partial 16S ribosomal RNA". It matches the Rfam family "Bacterial small subunit ribosomal RNA", at positions 28 to 507 of the family's 1533-position model. The record is from RNAcentral.